UACGGGGGGGGCAAGCGUUGUUCGGAAUUACUGGGCGUAAAGGGCUGGUAGGCGGCCAACUAAGUCGGAUGUGAAAUCCCCAGGCUUAACCUGGGAACUGCAUCCGAUACUGGUCGGCUUGAAUCCGGGAGAGGGAUGCAGAAUUCCAGGUGUAGCGGUGAAAUGCGUAGAUAUCAGGAGGAACACCGGUGGCGAAGGCGGUUCUCUGGGAAUAUCCUGACGCUGAGGAGCGAAAGUGUGGGGAGCGAACAGG
This 253-nucleotide ribosomal RNA is filed under the name uncultured bacterium. RNAcentral describes it as "partial 16S ribosomal RNA". It matches the Rfam family "Bacterial small subunit ribosomal RNA", at positions 524 to 776 of the family's 1533-position model. The record is from RNAcentral.